CCCUUUGUGACAUACCUAACUGUUGCUUCGGCGGGUUAGGGGGUCCCCCCGGGGACGCCCUCCCGGCCGCGCCCUCCUCCUCCGGGAGGGGUCGCGGCGCCCGCCGGAGGAUAACCAAACUCUGAUUUAACGACGUUUCUUCUGAGUGGCACAAGCAAAUAAUUAAAACUUUUAACAACGGAUCUCUUGGUUCUGGCAUCGAUGAAGAACGCAGCGAAAUGCGAUAAGUAAUGUGAAUUGCAGAAUUCAGUGAAUCAUCGAAUCUUUGAACGCACAUUGCGCCCGCCAGCAUUCUGGCGGGCAUGCCUGUUCGAGCGUCAUUUCAACCCUCAAGCUUCGCUUGGUGUUGGGGCACUACGGUUGACGUAGGCCCUCAAAAGUAGUGGCGGACCCUCCCGGAGCCUCCUUUGCGUAGUAACUAACGUCUCGCAUCGGGAUCCGGAGGGACUCUUGCCGUAAAACCCCCUAACUUUUAACUGGUUGACCUCGGAUCAGGUAGGAAUACCCGCUGAACUUAAGCAUA
This 523-nucleotide ribosomal RNA is filed under the name Colletotrichum sublineola. RNAcentral describes it as "eukaryotic LSU rRNA". The stretch from base 167 to 320 matches the Rfam family "5.8S ribosomal RNA". Lineage: Eukaryota; Fungi; Ascomycota; Sordariomycetes; Glomerellales; Glomerellaceae. The record is from RNAcentral.